GGAGAUAUAGCUCAGUGGUAGAGCACUUGCCUAGCAUACAGGAAGCCUUUGGUUCUACCUCUA
RNAcentral lists this transfer RNA (63 nucleotides) under Heterocephalus glaber (naked mole-rat). It matches the Rfam family "tRNA". Rfam says of the family: Transfer RNA (tRNA) molecules are approximately 80 nucleotides in length. Their secondary structure includes four short double-helical elements and three loops (D, anti-codon, and T loops). Lineage: Eukaryota; Metazoa; Chordata; Mammalia; Rodentia; Bathyergidae. The record is from Rfam by way of RNAcentral.